This 274-nucleotide ribosomal RNA is filed under the name uncultured bacterium. RNAcentral describes it as "partial 16S ribosomal RNA". It matches the Rfam family "Bacterial small subunit ribosomal RNA", at positions 523 to 796 of the family's 1533-position model. The record is from RNAcentral.
CUACGGAGGGUCCAAGCGUUAUCCGGAAUCAUUGGGUUUAAAGGGUUCGCAGGCGGUUUAAUAAGUCAGUGGUGAAAUCUCGGGGCUCAACCUCGAAACUGCCAUUGGUACUGUUAGACUUGAAUACAGUUGGAGUAGGCGGAAUGUGUAGUGUAGCGGUGAAAUGCUUAGAUAUUACACAGAACACCGAUAGCGAAGGCAGCUUACUAAACUGUGAUUGACGCUCAUGAACGAAAGCGUGGGGAGCGAACAGUAUUAGAAACCCUAGUAGUCC